GAUUUCUGGUGUGAUGCGCCUGACCCACCCACAUCAGUGGCGUGAGUGUCGGAGCGCGUCUGCCAUCCUUCUAGAGAACGACUCUGUCCUUCACUGGAUGGGGCCGCGAUCUAGAUCUUUUACUUUGAAAAAAUUAGAGUGUUUAAAGCAGGCUUGCGCUAUGAAUACAUUAGCAUGGAAUAAUAAUUUAGGACUUUGUUCCUAUUUUGUUGGUUUCUAGGGAUGAAGUAAUGAUUGAUAGGGGCAGUUGGGGGUGCUAGUAUUCAGCGGCCAGAGGUGAAAUUCUUGGAUUCGGUCAAGACUAACUUAUGCGAAAGCAUU
RNAcentral lists this ribosomal RNA (321 nucleotides) under uncultured Paracercomonas. RNAcentral describes it as "SSU rRNA". The stretch from base 104 to 321 matches the Rfam family "Eukaryotic small subunit ribosomal RNA", at positions 736 to 955 of the family's 1831-position model. Lineage: Eukaryota; Cercozoa; Cercomonadida; Cercomonadidae. The record is from RNAcentral.